Molecule: ribosomal RNA, 1052 nt
Filed under: uncultured Verrucomicrobiota bacterium
Lineage: Bacteria; Pseudomonadati; Verrucomicrobiota
Description: bacterial SSU rRNA
Rfam family: Bacterial small subunit ribosomal RNA
Source: RNAcentral
CAGCAGUCGAGAAUAAUUCACAAUGGGGGCAACCCUGAUGGUGCAACGCCGCGUGGAGGAUGACGGUCUUCGGAUUGUAAACUCCUGUCAUCUGGGAGUAAGACCUGGUCGUUAAUAGCGGACAGGGUUGAUAGUACCAGAAGAGGAAGGGACGGCUAACUUCGUGCCAGCAGCCGCGGUAAUACGAAGGUCCCGAGCGUUGUUCGGAAUCACUGGGCGUAAAGGGAGCGUAGGCGGCGUGGUAAGUCAGAUGUGAAAUCCCGGGGCUCAACCCCGGAACUGCAUCCGAUACUGCCGUGCUAGAGGAUUGGAGAGGUAGCUGGAAUUCUUGGUGUAGCAGUGAAAUGCGUGGAUAUCAAGAGGAACACUCGUGGCGAAAGCGAGCUACUGGACAACUCCUGACGCUGAGGCUCGAAGGCCAGGGUAGCGAAAGGGAUUAGAUACCCCUGUAGUCCUGGCAGUAAACGGUGCACGCUUGGUGUGAGGGGAAUCGACCCCCCUUGUGCCGGAGCAAACGCGUUAAGCGUGCCGCCUGGGAAGUACGGUCGCAAGACUAAAACUCAAAGAAAUUGACGGGGACCCGCACAAGCGGUGGAGUAUGUGGCUUAAUUCGAUGCAACGCGAAGAACCUUACCAAGGCUUGACAUGGAUUUCUAAGCACGUGAAAGCGUGUGACCCUUCGGGGAACUUCCACAGGUGCUGCAUGGCCGUCGUCAGCUCGUGUCGUGAGAUGUUGGGUUAAGUCCCGCAACGAGCGCAACCCUUGUGAUUAGUUGCCAGCACGUUAUGGUGGGAACUCUAAUCAGACUGCCCAGAUCAACUGGGAGGAAGGUGGGGACGACGUCAGGUCAGUAUGGCCCUUACGCCUUGGGCUGCACACGUACUACAAUGCCCAGCACAAUGAGAACCGAUACCGCGAGGUGGAGGAAAUCUAUAAAACUGGGCCCAGUUCGGAUUGGAGGCUGCAACUCGCCUCCAUGAAGUUGGAAUCGCUAGUAAUGGCACAUCAUCUACGGUGCCGUGAAUACGUUCCCGGGCCUUGUACACACCGC